GACCCUGUUGAGCUUGACUCUAGUUUGACAUUGUGAAAAGACAUAGGGGGUGUAGAAUAGGUGGGAGCUUCGGCGCCGGUGAAAUACCACUACCCUUAUCGUUUUUUUACUUAAUCAAUGAAGCGGAACUGGUCUUCAUCGACCAUUUUCUUGCAUUAAAGUCCUUCGCGGGCUGAUCCGGGUUGAUGACAUUGUCAGGUGGGGAGUUUGGCUGGGGGGGCACAUCUGUUAAACAAUAAC
RNAcentral lists this ribosomal RNA (240 nucleotides) under uncultured Thalassiosira. RNAcentral's name for it is "partial Eukaryotic large subunit ribosomal RNA". It matches the Rfam family "Eukaryotic large subunit ribosomal RNA", at positions 2409 to 2653 of the family's 3401-position model. Lineage: Eukaryota; Bacillariophyta; Thalassiosirophyceae; Thalassiosirales; Thalassiosiraceae. The record is from RNAcentral.